GCUCCUAUAGCUCAGUUGGUUAGAGCACCUGACUCAUAAUCAGGGGGUCCCAGGAUCAUGCCCUGGUGGGAGCA
Non-coding RNA from Chitinophaga eiseniae, 74 nucleotides. Lineage: Bacteria; Pseudomonadati; Bacteroidota; Chitinophagia; Chitinophagales; Chitinophagaceae. The record is from Rfam.